UACCAGCACCCCGAGUGGUCGGGACGAUUAUUGGGCCUAAAGCAUCCGUAGCCGGUUCUGCAAGUCUUCCGUUAAAUCCACCUGCUUAACAGGUGGGCUGCGGAGGAUACUAUAGAGCUAGGAGGCGGGAGAGGCAAGCGGUACUUAGUGGGUAGGGGUAAAAUCCGUUGAUCCAUUGAAGACCACCAGUGGCGAAGGCGGCUUGCCAGAACGCACUCGACGGUGAGGGAUGAAAGCUGGGGGAGCAAACCGG
This 253-nucleotide ribosomal RNA is filed under the name uncultured bacterium. Its description in RNAcentral is "partial 16S ribosomal RNA". It matches the Rfam family "Archaeal small subunit ribosomal RNA", at positions 474 to 727 of the family's 1478-position model. The record is from RNAcentral.